This 216-nucleotide unclassified non-coding RNA is filed under the name uncultured fungus. RNAcentral's name for it is "sequence contains ITS1". Lineage: Eukaryota; Fungi. The record is from RNAcentral.
GUAUUCCAUUUCGCCAUACGGCAGACAAACAUCCAAUAAUCUUAAACAAGAGUUUGUGAAUUUCGAAAGCAGGCUUUGAAAAAAAAGGCCUACCUUCAAAAUCUAAGUGCACAGGUGUAAAUUGGACUAAGGGGGAGUGAGCACAUGCAGUCAAACUGCCAGCAUCAACUCCCUUGCAAUUCGUUAAUGAUCCUUCCGCAGGUUCACCUACGGAAA